Molecule: long non-coding RNA, 341 nt
Organism: Penaeus monodon (black tiger shrimp)
Lineage: Eukaryota; Metazoa; Arthropoda; Malacostraca; Decapoda; Penaeidae
Exons: 2
Source: RefSeq, a predicted model, not a curated record
GGCCGCAGCAGUGGCUCUCCCUGACCCCACGAAACGGCACUUGGGAUUCGGCUUACACGGAGGAUACGGAGGAUACGGCCUCGGAGGAUUUGGCUUGGGAGGCUACGGAGGAUACGGAGGCUAUGGUUAUGGGUCCCACUAUCCUUAUUACGGAUCCUACUACGGAUAGGUGAGGCUGUGAUGUAACAUAUAAACGCUGUUGCAUCUCUCACUUCCGACUCAGAAGAAAAUAAUUCGUCGAGGAUUUUGGAUACGGCAGUCCGAUAUUUAUGUAAUAUACUUUAUGCUAUUUCGCUUAGCGAGAUAUGACACUCUUUAUAAUAAACUUACUUAUAAACUUA